GACAGAGGUGCCGAGCGUUAGGCGGAAUCACUGGGCUUAAAGCGUGUGUAGGCGGACUUCUAAGUACCUUGUGAAAUCCCACGGCUCAACCGUGGAACUGCUUGGUAUACUGGUUGUCUUGAGCCACUUAGGGGCAGUCGGAACAGACGGUGGAGCGGUGAAAUGCGUAGAUAUCGUUUGGAACGCCAACGGUGAAAACAGCUCGCUGGGGGUGUGCUGACGCUGAGACACGAAAGCCAGGGGAGCGAACGGG
This 253-nucleotide ribosomal RNA is filed under the name uncultured bacterium. Its description in RNAcentral is "partial 16S ribosomal RNA". It matches the Rfam family "Bacterial small subunit ribosomal RNA", at positions 524 to 776 of the family's 1533-position model. The record is from RNAcentral.